UUUUAAUUUAAUGUUAUAAAAGAAAUUUAAUAAUCCACCUAGGGUUUGCCUUUUCUUUCUGGAAAACUUGGUAUGUAUUCCCGUCUGACUCGGGGAUUGUUGAACGGAGCGGUAGAGCCUGCGGGCGGAGGGUUCUUGCCGCCGAUUUAUGGAGAACCUUUCGGACUAAAAUUCGAAGUUUCAAUUCGAUCUAGAUUCUGUUUUCGGAUUGCUUCUGAUCCUUAGACCAGUCCCUUACUUAUUUAUUACUAGCGGCCCGCUCCGGCUUCGCACGGGUAUAAAAUAUAUAUCCUAUGUCAUUCACUGAAAAAAUGAUAAAAAGCUACGUCCAGCAAUUUUUAAAUCUGUAAUAUCUGCGAAAAUAUUCAUUUAAUCUCCCGAGACCUCACACGAUGACAUAUGCACUGUUAUAUUUGAAUUUCGCGCUGUCUGGGGCAUGAACGAAGUGUUCCCAUACUUGAAUAUAUGUAUUUUCUGUGGUUUCUGAACGCCAUUUUUUAAUGGCGACGGUGAGACUGUAGACGAAAGGAGCCAUCAUGCCGCGCGGUUUGAAAGAAGAUGAAAUUCUCAGUUGGCUGAAUGAAUCCGAUGGUGAACCAUUAUCAGACAGUGAAAAUGAACUAGUUCCACCAACACAUUCUAGUGGAGAUUCCAGUUCCGAUGGCGAUGAAAAUGGAAGCAACACUAUACCAAUACUAGAUGAAAACACAUCUUCCAGUGACGAAGAAACAGCAAGCUUGAGUACUCCUUCGCAUCCACCUGUAGCAACUACUGUCGGUGGCCGAGGAAGAGCAAGUUUAAGCGGUAGGUGAGACGUCAGUAAGGGGAAGAGGACGCGGAACGGGACGGGGAAGUUCUGUAUCGGUAGCCAUAUCUCGAGGUCGAGGGCAUGCCCUCGUAAGAUGUGUGCGCCAACGUGGUCGUGGUGUCCAGCAGCGCAGGCGAAUUGGUAUUCUAUAUCACCAAAACUGGUGAGGAGUCUCAUUCAAGCCAAAUUUAAAAGGUAUACAGCAACCAGCAUACCUGCCUUGUGAUCGGUCAAAAUGGGAACCAGUUGAUUUAUAAAAGAAUAUGUAGACGACGACAUACUGGAUAAAAUGGUCACUGCAACCAACAGAACCGCUUUGUCACGAACCGGACAUACACUGGAACUUACUUUGAAAGAGCUCAAAAUAGAAAAAAGACAAAGAGAGAUAGAUUAUUCAAAAUCCGAUCUUCAUUGAAGGUCGUUUACGAUGAUGAUUAGAUCUCUGAAGAGAAGAUAGAUGAUAAAAUCUGGAAGGUUCGCCCUUUUUUGGAUCUUGUAUUAGAAGGGUGUCAUAAACAAGAACGUACUGUUGAUAUGAGUAUAGAUGAGAUGAUGAUACCGUUUGCUGGCCAGUGCGGUAUAAGAGUAUAUUUGCCGUGCAAGCCAAAUGCUCUCGGGUUAAAAGUCCUUGUCUUGGGCAAUCCCAAUGGAGUUGCUUGUGACAUGAUAGUUUACCAAUGCGAUACUACCUUUCCGACUGAACUUACAGAACGUUACAGUCUUGGUGAAUGUUCGAUUAUGUUUCUGACUCGGACCUUGGUAGCUGGGCACAUUAUACACUGUGACCGUUAUUUCACCACUCUCAAGCUUGCAGACUCCAUGUUGGAAAAAGGAUUUUACCUCGUGGGUACCAUUAUGGCCAACAGAAUACCUCGGCACAUUGCUUUGAUUCCAGAUAAAGAGUUAAUGGCAAAGGGACGCGGAACAACUUUUACCUUAGUACGAGAAGAUGGGAAGUUGGCGACUACCAAAUGGCAAGAAAAAACUGACACUUGUCAACGCUGGUCGAAAAAAAACAAAGUUUACGACCGUGACUCGUCCAGAAGUCGUAAAAGAAUAUAAUUUAUCCAUGGGUGGAGUCGAUUUGGCAGAUCGCAUGUGGUCUGAUUGUCCAUCGCGAGCCAGAACAAAAAAGUGGACGGUACGAGUAGUGUUUCACAUAUUUGAUUUAGCAGUCACUAACUCGUAGUUUGUUUAUCGCCAUGAAUGUGUGAGGAACGGUGUAGCUCGCAAAAACACAAUGCAACUGCAGGAAUUCAAAAUGGUCCUAGGUCACUACUUUAUCGAAGCUAAUGACGUGUCUAGCGACAGUUCUGAGACCGACGACGGAGUGUUGGAGCCCAAAUAUAAGAAAAGGAAGGUGGCCAUCGUUUCUCUUCCUUCAGAUAUCAAAAGGUGUCAAAAAGCAGAUCAUAUGCCGCUAAAAACAUCGGUUCAAAACAGAUGUCGGCUAUCUGGCUGCAAACAAUCAAGCAAGACCAAAUGCGCAAAGUGUAAAAUUUAUUUAUGUAACACUUUGAAUCGCAAUUGCUUCCAAAUAUUUCAUAAGUAAAGUUCUUAUUAUUUUAUAGAAUUCGUUUUGUUUUAAGAGACACUUAUUUGAAUGUACAUUUAAUUAAUUUCUUUGUUGAUCUCAACACGAUUUUCUAUUACAGGUAUCUAAUCGUACGAAAAAAUUACUGAUUUUUGUGAUUAUAGUUCUGAGGUAAAAAUAGAAGUAUUUUGAGGUUUAUUUUUUUGGUAAAUAACUCUAAGUUACAAAAUAAAAGUAAUUUGAUGUUAA
Leptidea sinapis is the source of this 2591-nucleotide long non-coding RNA. RefSeq lists it as uncharacterized. The transcript has 2 exons. The record is from RefSeq and is a predicted model, not a curated record. Lineage: Eukaryota; Metazoa; Arthropoda; Insecta; Lepidoptera; Pieridae.